UACGUAGGGUGCGAGCGUUAAUCGGAAUUACUGGGCGUAAAGCGUGCGCAGGCGGUGAUGUAAGACAGGUGUGAAAUCCCCGGGCUUAACCUGGGAACUGCAUUUGUGACUGCAUCGCUGGAGUGCGGCAGAGGGGGAUGGAAUUCCGCGUGUAGCAGUGAAAUGCGUAGAUAUGCGGAGGAACACCGAUGGCGAGGGCAAUCCCCUGGGCCUGCACUGACGCUCAUGCACGAAAGCGUGGGGAGCAAACAGG
RNAcentral lists this ribosomal RNA (253 nucleotides) under uncultured bacterium. RNAcentral's name for it is "partial 16S ribosomal RNA". It matches the Rfam family "Bacterial small subunit ribosomal RNA", at positions 524 to 776 of the family's 1533-position model. The record is from RNAcentral.